AACGAACGCUGGCGGCAUGCCUAACACAUGCAAGUCGAACGAGACCUUCGGGUCUAGUGGCGCACGGGUGCGUAACGCGUGGGAACCUGCCCUUAGGUUCGGAAUAACUCCCCGAAAGGGGUGCUAAUACCGGAUAAUGUCUUCGGACCAAAGAUUUAUCGCCUUUGGAUGGGCCCGCGUUGGAUUAGCUAGUUGGUAGGGUAAAAGCCUACCAAGGCGACGAUCCAUAGCUGGUCUGAGAGGAUGAUCAGCCACACUGGGACUGAGACACGGCCCAGACUCCUACGGGAAGCAGCAGUGGGGAAUAUUGGACAAUGGGCGAAAGCCUGAUCCAGCAAUGCCGCGUGAGUGAUGAAGGCCUUAGGGUUGUAAAGCUCUUUUACCUGGGAUGAUAAUGACAGUACCGGGAGAAUAAGCUCCGGCUAACUCCGUG
RNAcentral lists this ribosomal RNA (433 nucleotides) under uncultured bacterium. Its description in RNAcentral is "partial 16S ribosomal RNA". It matches the Rfam family "Bacterial small subunit ribosomal RNA", at positions 29 to 507 of the family's 1533-position model. The record is from RNAcentral.